GGAAGGACUAGGCUACUUUUAGAUUUACACUUUAUCCCUCCAUAGUAUUUCCUCCAUAGUAUUUGCUUUACAUGCGUGGUUUAAUAGUUUAAAAUAUUUUCCUUUUCAAUCAUGAACAUAAUUAUAAAGACAUCGUAUGUAAGCAUCCAUGCGUAAAGAUCAACCCGUACAGACUUGUUUGAAUUAAUGUGUUGCGCCAUUCGGAGAUGUGCUUAGCCUACUCUGUAAUUUAACCAGUUUCUGUUUCUACUGUGUGCAUAAGGGCCCAAAGUGGCAUUUGUAUUUAUACCGUGCAUCAAUUAUAUUUUGUGCACACAUCCAGAUACUCAGCUCGUUUGUGUGAUUACUUUUUUUAGGGACGGGAGAGAUUCUCUGAUUAUUUAUUUGAAUGGUGGUGGACAGGUCGCGGUUAUCCGGACAGGAGCCUAUUACGCCCUGUCUUAAAUCGCUGGAUAACAAAGUUGUCCUUCCUCUGUGUGACUGUGAGUGAGUUGGCUCAGCCCCUCCCUCAGCCCUUCCUCACACAUCUUUGGUUGAUACUGCGUGUCUGAUUGACAGGAACAACCAGUCUUACUAUCCUUCUCUUCCUUUUCAAUCACUUCCUCCUCCUCCUCUUCUACUCCUUCCAUCCCCUCAUCCAUCUCUCUCCUCUUCCACCACACACAUCCCUCCCCUCUCCUGUAGUACCUCAUUCGCCUCCCCCCCUCUGCAGUGAUGGCGGCAUGUCUCCUCUUUUUCUUUCUUCUCAACUACCACUUUAAUUCCUUGCCUCUCCUCCUCUUCCUCGACCUCUGUAAGCUCCGUUUCCAGUUUUCUCAGCUCCAGGGGGUCUCAGGCUGUGCAGGCAAGGGCCUGGAUCGGGGCAGAGGGGGCAGACUGGCCUGAGGAAGAGAGAGGGUCCGGGAUGGGACAGAGGGAGUCCAUGGAGGUGUGAAGAAGGGGGUUUGGGGAGGGGAAGGGGCCUGAGAGGACAUGGAGAGGGGAAUUUUAGGCUCCACACAAGAUGGUUGUUGCGGAUGGAUGGAAUUAGAGGAUUUGGAAGAAGAGCUGGGAGAGACCAUUGUUGGACUACGGGGGUGACUGGGUUUCUGGCUGAAAGAACAGACCAUUGUUGGGCUAUGGGGGAAGGUGGGAGUGGAGGGUUCUGACUUCCUGAAUAUGAAAGAGUUGUCUGUUAGGGUCCGUUGGUAUCGUCUGAAUGUAGGCCUCACUACGAAGAGAAUGAAAAAUACACAAAUAUACACAUCAGGUAGAAUACAUUUGCAUUAAAAUAACAUGAAGGCCUAAACAUGGAUACAAACAAAGAAAGUGGAUGGAAUAUUGCUGGAAAUACCAAUAAAGAGAAUAGUAUGCAUGAUAUUCAAUAACAGCAUAUUGUAUCUUGAGAUCAAUAAACACACUCAUGCGCACACCCGCACACACACACACACACACACACA
This 1439-nucleotide long non-coding RNA is filed under the name Salmo salar (Atlantic salmon). RNAcentral describes it as "lncRNA (ENSSSAG00000105387.1)". The record is from RNAcentral. Lineage: Eukaryota; Metazoa; Chordata; Actinopteri; Salmoniformes; Salmonidae.